This 85-nucleotide transfer RNA is filed under the name Candidatus Micrarchaeota archaeon CG09_land_8_20_14_0_10_55_25. RNAcentral describes it as "tRNA-Leu". Lineage: Archaea; Nanobdellati; Microcaldota. The record is from RNAcentral.
GCAGGGGUAGCAAAGCCUGGUCAAAUGUGACAGGUUCAGGGCCUGUUCCCUUAGGGGUUCGAGGGUUCGAAUGCCCAUCUUUUCU